CCUACGGGAGGCAGCAGUGGGGGAUAUUGCACAAUGGGGGGAACCCUGAUGCAGCGACGCCGCGUGGGUGAAGGAGCGUUUCGGCGCGUAAAGCCCUAUCGGCAGGGAAGAAGAAGGACGGUACUUGACUAAGAAGCCCCGGCUAACUACGUGCCAGCAGCCGCGGUAAUAAGUAGGGGGCAAGCGUUAUCCGGAUUUACUGGGUGUAAAGGGGGCGCAGACGGCAGCGCAAGCCAGGAGUGAAAGCCCGGGGCCCAACCCCGGGACUGCUCUUGGAACUGCGCGGCUGGAGUGCAGGAGGGGCAGGCGGAAUUCCUGGUGUAGCGGUGAAAUGCGUAGAUAUCAGGAGGAACACCGGUGGCGAAGGCGGCCUGCUGGACUGCGACUGACGUUGAGGCCCGAAAGCGUGGGGAGCAAACAGGAUUAGAUACCCUGGUAGUC
This 441-nucleotide ribosomal RNA is filed under the name uncultured bacterium. RNAcentral's name for it is "partial 16S ribosomal RNA". It matches the Rfam family "Bacterial small subunit ribosomal RNA", at positions 338 to 795 of the family's 1533-position model. The record is from RNAcentral.